UGGAGCUCUUAAAAAUGACUUAAUGCUUGCAGUUAUCUUUUUCAACAUCUAUAAACCAACAUGAAUACUUCAUGAUUUAGGAAACAUGUAAAAAUUCCUAUUGACAUCCGAUAAUAAAUCUCCUGCAUCUAUCAUUCAUCGCUUAUAAAAAGCACAUAUAAGUCAAACAAGCAUCAGAUGCAUUUAACAUAAUUCUUGUUUGACACAAAAUACAUAAUAAUGCCACAGAAGUCUUCAAAUUACAAAUAAAACUUGAACAACCCAUUAACGAAAAUUACUAAUAAACAAGUUGGUCCCUUUUCUUUCCCAUUCCAGUCCAAGUAUCCUCUUCCCUUACGGAAUGUCACUUGCAAUGACACCUCAACGUCUCGUUUCUCAAUUAUUCGGGCCAAAGUUUCAAGCAUGUUUGGAAAAUCUUCAACUUCCUCAUUCUCUGGCAUCACCUCAUUGAAGUUACUACACUGUUAGCUUGAUUCUCCUUCAUCCACCCAGUCAAAAAAUUUGCAGUUCUUACUGCAAAUGUUGAAUAGUCGUCCUUUGUUACGUGUUUGUUUUUCAACCUCAAAACAUUUCUAAAAUCCAUGUGGACGCCUUGGGCAACGACGUUUUCUCAUGCAUUCCUUGAAUGAGUGCCACUUGCUUCGACAACUGUGACAUAUGCCAACAUUCCUUCCUCUCAUGCCGAAAUGAUGAACAACAAAGAAUGAAGUUACAUAAUAUAUUUUGAUAGUGUCACUUUGAUCAUACUUAAACUGAAAAUUAUUCUAUGUCAACAGUUCAAUAAACUAAACUCCACAAGACUCGCUUCAAUUAAUGUUAUAUAUGAGACCUCUAUCUUUGAUUUCUAUCAAAAUCAUAAAGCUAGACAAACAUGUCCCAUACUGCAAAUGAAUGAAAUAAGCUAAAACAAAAUGCAGUUCUGCACUUCUUUAAACUGGGAUACGUGCAACACUUGCAUAAGCAUAAAUCUGUCUCAAUGUUAUGAUCCAUGGGAAGUUGAGAUUUUUACAGUCUCAUGUAUAAUUACUAGUGCACAAUACACAGCUACAGAGUAUGGACUAUGCAGUUUAACAUUCAAAUAACAGAUGGCUAUUUAGAUACUUAAUAAACUGAAAUGUAUUAAACGACAUGAAGAAUAAUCAGAUUAUUGAAACUUAAUUUUAAUGUAUUUCAAAGAGUGCUCAAAGAAAUCAGAUUCAAAUCAGUUCCACAUGAUUGAAUUCGACAACAACCAGAUGAAAGUAAUAUGAAUCAAUUUGUUUGUUCAACUUUUAAUUACACAAACAAAAACUACCUAUUUAAUUCCUUCCAUUAUUUUUACAAAUGUUUUUUCAACAAUUUCGCUUCGUUUCAGUUCGGUGACUUCAUGGCUGUCAUAGAGAUUUCAUCCUCUGACCAAAGGUUAGACGUCACACACUUACUUGAGAUGUAUAGACUAGAAAAAUAUGUCAUUUUCAGUUGGGCGGUGGAGGAUGCUUCGCGGCGGUGGAAGAUGGGCAACGUUUGAACUUUUUCGAUUUCCACGAAUCCUCGAUUUGACGAUGGACUAUUCUUCUUCUUCACCUAUUUUGAAGAUGGCCGGAGCUGGAGAUGCUUUUUAUGGUGUUGUCUCGCCGUCUUUUAUGGAGGCCGGUGGAAACAGUGAAGGAGAGUCGGGAAGGGUUUUGAAAUUGGGGGAAAUAUGUUCGAAGCCAAAUGAGGACUGCCCGAUUUCCAAACGGUUUUUGUCCUUUUUAUUUUAUUUUUCUUUUUUUUUUCCCAGCCAGGUCAGAUUCCCCUGUGAACCCCCUUUCUGUACGCCUAGCAGCACCGAAU
RNAcentral lists this long non-coding RNA (1815 nucleotides) under Olea europaea subsp. europaea. Lineage: Eukaryota; Viridiplantae; Streptophyta; Magnoliopsida; Lamiales; Oleaceae. The record is from RNAcentral.